Dioscorea cayenensis subsp. rotundata (Guinea yam) is the source of this 1023-nucleotide long non-coding RNA. RefSeq lists it as uncharacterized. Lineage: Eukaryota; Viridiplantae; Streptophyta; Magnoliopsida; Dioscoreales; Dioscoreaceae. The record is from RefSeq and is a predicted model, not a curated record. The transcript is spliced from 6 exons.
ACGGCUCACCCUUCACUCUCUUUCUCUCGACGCUUCCAUCCAUCACCGGAACCCUUCCAUCCAUUGCAACGCUUCCAUUGAUCGUACCAUAUCGUCGGAAUCAAGCUCUUAUGAACGAAGGUCUCCGGAAAACUCUGUUACCGGCGCACAAUCAAAAUCUAGGUGAUUAAAAAAAAUUAUCGAGGUUAAUUUUCCCAAUCUCUCAAGGUUACUGAUUUCUAUCAAGCUAUCCAGUGAGUUGAAGAAUAUGUAGGCGGCUAGUGUGUGGGCAUUUGUGGACAAAGCGAGGAACAUGUAUUGAUGGGUCAUCACAUGGUUGGUUCUGUCUGCUGAAGGAAUCACUAACUCACUGGUUUCUUGAAUGCCAUUUUGAACUUAGUUGAGAAGGAUAAAGAUACAGGAGCUCUGAAUAGUGCUGAUCUUUUGCUUAAUUUUCUUCAUCGUUCUUCUUUGAAGUAGAUACUUGCAUUCUAAAUUUAGAUAACAUGUGUGUGCAUCAAGUCUGGGAACAACCGUGGCUGGUGAUGGUGAUGCUUGUUUACAUUGUGAAGAUGGGAGAUGUAGUGCAUGUUAAGCAACUAGAUCUCAAUAUUGUACGAGGCUGCGUAGUGGAAGCACUUUGCAGGAUCUCUACAAGGAAGAGUUUUAUGAUGAUGAUGACAAUAGUGAUUGGGAACCAGUACAUCAUUUUGUUUUGAAGAAGUGGUUUUGUACAAACUGUACAUUGCCGAACUUUGAUGAUGUCUCUCACUGCGAUAAUCAGCUUCAGACACAUCUACAGCUGUUGGUUUUGAUGAAAGGAUGCUGCUCCACUACGAGGUUAGACUGCAUUUCUCAUAACUUGAGAUUGAUACAUGAUUUAUUUUUCUCAAUGUUGCAUUUCGAUGAGUAUUUUUGUAAGACUGAAAUUUUGUUGUCAUAAGUCAGAAGUUUAUGUGAGUUACAUUGAUAUUUAUAUCUAUUUGAAAAUAGAGUGUAGCUUAAAUUAUAUGGGUUCCUACUUUUUUUAGGAUGUAGACCUUU